This 503-nucleotide ribosomal RNA is filed under the name uncultured bacterium. RNAcentral describes it as "partial 16S ribosomal RNA". It matches the Rfam family "Bacterial small subunit ribosomal RNA", at positions 30 to 523 of the family's 1533-position model. The record is from RNAcentral.
AUUGAACGCUGGCGGCAGGCUUAACACAUGCAAGUCGAGCGGGGUGAUGGUGCUUGCACUAUCACUUAGCGGCGGACGGGUGAGUAAUGCUUAGGAAUCUGCCUAUUAGUGGGGGACGACAUCUCGAAAGGGAUGCUAAUACCGCAUACGUCCUACGGGAGAAGGCAGGGGAUCACUUGUGACCUUGCGCUAAUAGAUGAGCCUAAGUCGGAUUAGCUAGUUGGUGGGGUAAAGGCCUACCAAGGCGACGAUCUGUAGCGGGUAUGAGAGGAUGAUCCGCCACACUGGGACUGAGACACGGCCCAGACUCCUACGGGAGGCAGCAGUGGGGAAUAUUGGACAACGGGGGGAACCCUGAUCCAGCCAUGCCGCGUGUGUGAAGAAGGCCUUAUGGUUGUAAAGCACUUUAAGCGAGGAGGAGGCUCUUUUGGUUAAUACCCAAGAUGAGUGGACGUUACUCGCAGAAUAAGCACCGGCUAACUCCGUGCCAGCCGCCGCAGUAA